CGUGUAGGCGGUUUAGCAAGUCAGAUGUGAAAGCCCUGGGCUCAACCCGGGAAGUGCAUUUGAAACUGCUUCACUAGAGUAUGGGAGAGGAGAUUGGAAUUCCUGGUGUAGAGGUGAAAUUCGUAGAUAUCAGGAGGAACACCCGUGGCGAAGGCGAUUCUCUGGACCAAUACUGACGCUGAGGCGCGAAGGCGUGGGGAGCAAACAGGAUUAGAUACCCUGGUAGUCC
This 229-nucleotide ribosomal RNA is filed under the name uncultured bacterium. Its description in RNAcentral is "partial 16S ribosomal RNA". It matches the Rfam family "Bacterial small subunit ribosomal RNA", at positions 568 to 796 of the family's 1533-position model. The record is from RNAcentral.